CGCAACUUGCGCCCAUACUGGGUCAUUCCGUUGGGCAUGCCUGUUUGAGUGUCUUGAAACCAUCGACCAUUGCGGCAUCCGAUUUGGUCGGACUUGGGGGCUGUGCUGCCGUGGCUUCGGCCGAUGGCGGCUCCCCCGGAAAGCAUCGGCGUAAUCGGCAGUCCGACCGCGGCGUUGUAGAGCUUCGCCCCGAUCCUCUGUCGGCCGGCCUCCCUGAGGCGACCCCACCCGUAUGACCUCGGACCUCAGAUCAGGCAAGACUACCCGCCGAACUUAA
Molecule: unclassified non-coding RNA, 277 nt
Filed under: Brevicellicium atlanticum
Lineage: Eukaryota; Fungi; Basidiomycota; Agaricomycetes; Trechisporales; Hydnodontaceae
Description: partial contains 5.8S ribosomal RNA, internal transcribed spacer 2, and large subunit ribosomal RNA
Source: RNAcentral